AAAUUGAAGAGUUUGAUCAUGGCUCAGAUUGAACGCUGGCGGCAGGCCUAACACAUGCAAGUCGAACGGUAACAGGGA
RNAcentral lists this ribosomal RNA (78 nucleotides) under Escherichia coli. RNAcentral's name for it is "partial 16S ribosomal RNA". It matches the Rfam family "Bacterial small subunit ribosomal RNA", at positions 1 to 78 of the family's 1533-position model. The record is from RNAcentral. Lineage: Bacteria; Pseudomonadati; Pseudomonadota; Gammaproteobacteria; Enterobacterales; Enterobacteriaceae.